CCUAGGGGUGGCAGCAGUGAGGAAUAUUGGUCAAUGGGCGCGAGCCUGAACCAGCCAAGUAGCGUGAAGGAUGACUGCCCUACGGGUUGUAAACUUCUUUUAUAAAGGAAUAAAGUGAGGCACGUGUGCCUUUUUGUAUGUACUUUAUGAAUAAGGAUCGGCUAACUCCGUGCCAGCAGCCGCGGUAAUACGGAGGAUCCGAGCGUUAUCCGGAUUGAGUGGGGUUAAAGGGAGCGUAGAUGGGUUGUUAAGUCAGUUGUGAAAGUUUGCGGCUCAACCGUAAAAUUGCAAUUGAUACUGGCAGUCUUGAUUACAGUUGCGGUCGGCGUCAUUCGUUGUGUAGCGGUGACAUGCUUCGCUCUCAC
RNAcentral lists this ribosomal RNA (365 nucleotides) under uncultured bacterium. RNAcentral describes it as "partial 16S ribosomal RNA". It matches the Rfam family "Bacterial small subunit ribosomal RNA", at positions 338 to 700 of the family's 1533-position model. The record is from RNAcentral.